This is an RNA transcript of Vigna angularis (adzuki bean), 3731 nucleotides long. It is a transcript of the gene named sucrose synthase 2, with no coding region annotated. The record is from RefSeq and is a predicted model, not a curated record. The transcript is spliced from 21 exons. NCBI's taxonomy places the organism in Eukaryota, Viridiplantae, Streptophyta, Magnoliopsida, Fabales, Fabaceae.
ACGAACUCAGCUCUGAUGAUCCACAACACAACUCUCACAACUUUCUUCAUUAACUCUGCUGCUUUUUCUAACUGCAAUUGGAAGCUCCAAAUCCUGCUUUAACUGACAUCUAUACAUAACAAGAUUGUUCGGCAUGUCUACUCAGCCAAAACCAAAGCUUGGUAGGCUUCCCAGUAUCAGAGAUCGCGUUGAAGACACUCUCUCUGCUCAUCGUAACGAACUCAUUUCUCUUCUCUCCAGGUAUGUGGCUCAGGGGAAAGGGAUUUUGCAACCUCAUAACUUAAUUGAUGAACUUGACAACAUCCCUGGGGACGAUCAAGCAAAGCUGGAUCUUAAAAAUGGUCCCUUCGGUGAAAUUAUCAGGGCAGCACAGGAAGCCAUAGUUUUGCCUCCUUUUGUGGCAAUAGGAGUUCGUCCAAGACCUGGUGUUUGGGAAUAUGUCCGUGUUAAUGUCUCUGAACUGAGCGUGGAGCAAUUAAGCGUUGCUGAAUAUCUGAGCUUUAAGGAAGAACUUGUGGAUGGAAAGAAUAAUGACAAUUUUGUACUGGAACUUGAUUUUGAGCCAUUUAAUGCCUCAUUCCCUCGUCCAUCCCGUUCAUCAUCCAUUGGCAAUGGUGUCCAAUUUCUCAAUCGCCACCUUUCAUCAAUUAUGUUCCGCAACAAAGACUCCUUGGACCCCUUGCUUGAUUUCCUCCGAGCUCACAAGUAUAAGGGCCAUGCUCUGAUGUUGAAUGACAGAAUACAGAACAUUUCCAAACUCCAGACUGCUCUGGCCAAGACUGAGGAUUAUCUUAAUAAGAUUCCACGUGAUACACCUUAUUCAGAGUUUGAAUACGUGUUACAAGGAAUGGGUUUUGAGAGAGGAUGGGGUGAUACUGCUGAAAGGGUAUUGGAAACGAUGCAUCUGCUACUGGAUAUUCUUCAGGCUCCUGAUCCUUCUACCCUAGAGACUUUUCUUGGCAGAGUGCCAAUGGUAUUCAAUGUUGUUAUAUUGUCUCCUCAUGGCUUCUUCGGACAAGCCAAUGUCUUGGGUUUGCCUGACACUGGUGGGCAGGUUGUUUAUAUACUAGAUCAAGUGCGUGCCCUUGAGAAUGAGAUGCUCCUUCGGAUUAAGAAACAAGGACUAGAUUUCACUCCUAGAAUUCUGAUUGUUACCAGGCUAAUACCCGAUGCAAAGGGGACAACUUGCAAUCAACGACUAGAAAGAGUCAGUGGUACCGAGCACACACAUAUUUUGCGAGUUCCAUUCAGAUCAGAGUCAGGAACUCUCCGUAAAUGGAUUUCAAGGUUUGAUGUGUGGCCUUAUCUAGAGACUUAUUCAGAGGACGUUGCCAGUGAAAUUGCUGCUGAGUUACAAGGUUAUCCUGACUUCAUCAUUGGAAACUACAGUGAUGGGAAUCUUGUUGCAUCUUUAUUGGCUUAUAAAAUGGGAGUUACACAGUGCACCAUCGCCCAUGCACUUGAGAAGACAAAAUAUCCGGAUUCAGAUAUAUACUGGAAGAAAUUUGAUGACAAAUAUCACUUUUCAUGCCAGUUCACUGCUGAUUUAAUAGCCAUGAAUAACGCUGAUUUUAUCAUCACCAGCACCUACCAAGAGAUUGCAGGAACGAAAAAUACAGUUGGACAGUAUGAGAGCCACACUGGUUUUACUCUUCCUGGGCUGUACAGGGUUGUCCACGGCAUUGAUGUUUUUGAUCCCAAGUUCAAUAUUGUUUCUCCUGGAGCAGAUAUGUCAAUAUAUUUUCCCUACUCUGAAAAGCAGAACAGGCUUACAUCCCUGCACGGUUCCAUUGAACAGCUACUGUAUGAUCCAACACAGACUGAUGACUACAUUGGAACACUGAAAGACAAGUCAAAGCCCAUAAUUUUCUCCAUGGCAAGGCUAGACAGAGUGAAGAACAUGACAGGAUUGGUUGAAUUAUUUGGUAAGAGCAGCAAAUUGAGGGAGCUGGUAAACCUUGUUGUAGUAGCUGGUUACAUAGAUGUAAAGAAGUCCAGCGACAGAGAAGAAAUUGCAGAAAUUGAGAAGAUGCACAGUCUCAUCAAAGAGUACAACUUAAAUGGUGAUUUUCGUUGGAUUGCUGCCCAAACAAAUAGGGCACGUAACGGGGAGCUGUAUCGCUACAUAGCAGACACACAAGGUGCUUUCGUUCAGCCUGCAUUCUAUGAAGCUUUCGGGCUCACAGUUGUGGAAGCCAUGACCUGUGGACUCCCAACAUUUGCUACUAGCAAUGGUGGUCCAGCUGAGAUCAUCGAGCAUGGUAUAUCAGGAUUUCACAUUGAUCCUUAUCACCCUGAUCAAGCUUCAGAGCUAUUGGUUGAAUUCUUCCAAACCUGCAAGACUGACCCAAGCCAUUGGAAGAAAAUAUCUGAUGGUGGUCUUAAAAGAAUUUAUGAAAGCUACACUUGGAAGAUUUAUUCCGAAAGGCUCUUGACCUUGGCGGGAGUUUACAGUUUCUGGAAAUACGUUUCCAAAUUGGAGAGGCGUGAAACUCGACGAUAUCUUGAGAUGUUCUAUAUCCUCAAGUUCCGUGAUUUGGCAAAAUCUGUGCCCCUAGCAAAAGAUGAUGCAAGUUAAUUGGAUGUUUUUAGCGAGGCUUGACAGAAGACACAAUAAUAAUAAUCUAAGCAAAUAAAAGUUUGGUUCUGGUGCUCUCAGAUGUCGUGAUGUGAUGCGACCUAGAGGAGUUUCAUGGAAGACUUGUCUAUGUUAAGUUAGAUUAUGUGAGAGAUGGAAUUGUGCGUCAACAAAGCAGUGUUGCUGAAAGUUUCAAUCCUCCAAAGCUUAGGAGGAAUGCUUCUGCUGCAUCUAAUAUAAGUAGCACUGCUUCCCAGGUGGUCCAACACUUCCAGAGGUAACACAACUCAUUUAUACCAGAGGGAGGCUUUAGAUCCAUGACUUGUGAAUAGUGAAAGAAUCUGAUAAAGCAUAAACGAGACCAACAUAAAGGCUUUAAAUGGUGCUGAUUUGGAAAGCUAACGAAUCACGUUUUUUGGGGCAUCAAAGGUUGCAGCCACAGCCAGUACUGGGAAAUUGGACUUGUUAAGGAACUUGGGAGCAGACUUAGCCAUUGAUUAUACAAAGGGGCUGCUUGAAGAGCUGGAAGAAAAAUUUGAUGUAGUGUACGAUACAGUAGGCAGAGUGAGAUUGAUAGAACAUUGAAGGUUGUUAAAGAAAAUGGGAAAGUUGUGACAGUAGCAGCACAUGGAAGUUCUUCAGAUAUCUUCGUAAUGCUCAUACAGGGUAUAUUCCCUGCCCAUCAUUGACAUAAUUCGGGGUUUUGGAUUGGAUAUAUUGAAAGCCAAGAUGGAAAGAAAGAAGAACAAACUAUGGGCAAGCUUUGUUGUUGAGGCAAACAGACACAUGACAAGGAUAGAUGUGUUUAGGAUACACUUAGCAAAAUGAAUAGGUGAUCAAUUCCCAACUAAGUUCCCAAGGAAGAGGCUGUGCAAAAUGAAUAGGAAAGCGAAAGAGUUGUAAGCAAAGAAGAUGGAAUGUUUGGAAAACUUGUGCAUUUGUUUUGGACUCUUGAAGUAAUGUUUAAUAUCUAAUAAUUAGGAGCUAUUGGCCAACCUAAAAGAUUGGACAAUUUUAGCAAUUAUUCUUGAAUUUUUUUUUAAUUUGUAUGGUUGAAUAAUGUUAAUUUUUAUGUUCAAUAAUUAAUUGUAUUUAAAAAUGUUAACAAUGUUUAGAUAUAUUUUAUAUAAUAAUAUUUUAUUUUAUUUUCAAA